ACACUUCUGAGGAGUCCCAUAAUAGGAUGAAACGGUCGUCGAGUGU
This is a non-coding RNA of Schistosoma curassoni, 46 nucleotides long. The record is from Rfam. Lineage: Eukaryota; Metazoa; Platyhelminthes; Trematoda; Strigeidida; Schistosomatidae.